GCACUCCUACGGGGCGCAGCAGUGGGGGAUAUUGCACAAUGGGGGAAACCCUGAUGCAGCGACGCCGCGUGGGUGAAGAAGCGCCUCGGCGCGUAAAGCCCUGUCAGCAGGGAAGAAAAUGACGGUACCUGAAGAAGAAGCCCCGGCUAACUACGUGCCAGCAGCCGCGGUAAUACGUAGGGGGCAAGCGUUAUCCGGAUUUACUGGGUGGAAAGGGGGCGCAGACGGCGAUGCAGGCCAGGAGUGAAAGCCCGGGGCCCAACCCAGGGACGGCUCUUGGAACUGCGUGGCUAG
RNAcentral lists this ribosomal RNA (294 nucleotides) under uncultured bacterium. RNAcentral describes it as "partial 16S ribosomal RNA". It matches the Rfam family "Bacterial small subunit ribosomal RNA", at positions 333 to 644 of the family's 1533-position model. The record is from RNAcentral.